Molecule: ribosomal RNA, 253 nt
Filed under: uncultured bacterium
Lineage: Bacteria
Description: partial 16S ribosomal RNA
Rfam family: Bacterial small subunit ribosomal RNA
Source: RNAcentral
UACGGAGGGUGCAAGCGUUGUUCGGAUUCAUUGGGCGUAAAGGGCGUGUAGGCGGCCUGUUAAGUCUGAAGUGAAACCCCAGGGCUCAACCAUGGAACUGCUUCGGAUACUGGGAGGCUUGAGUACUCUAGAGGGCAGUGGAAUUGCCGGUGUAGCAGUGAAAUGCGUAGAGAUCGGCAGGAACACCAGUGGCGAAGGCGACUGCCUGGGGAGAAACUGACGCUGAGGCGCGAAAGCUGGGGGAGCAAACGGG